UACGAACGCUGGCGGCGUGCCUAAUACAUGCAAGUCGAACGCUUUUUCUUUCACCGGAGCUUGCUCCAUCGAAAGAAAAAGAGUGGCGAACGGGUGAGUAACACGUGGGUAACCUGCCCAUCAGAAGGGGAUAACACUUGGAAACAGGUGCUAAUACCGUAUAACACUAUUUUCCGCAUGGAAGAAAGUUGAAAGGCGCUUUUGCGUCACUGAUGGGCGGACCCGCGGUGCAUUAGCUAGUUGGUGAGGUAACGGCUCACCAAGGCAACGAUGCAUAGCCGACCUGAGAGGGUGAUCGGCCACACUGGGACUGAGACACGGCCCAGACUCCUACGGGAGGCAGCAGUAGGGAAUCUUCGGCAAUGGACGAAAGUCUGACCGAGCAACGCCGCGUGAGUGAAGAAGGUUUUCGGAUCGUAAAACUCUGUUGUUAGAGAAGAACAAGGAUGAGAGUAAAAUGUUCAUCCCUUGACGGUAUCUAACCAGAAAGCCACGGCUAACUACGUGCCAGCAGCCGCAGUAA
RNAcentral lists this ribosomal RNA (523 nucleotides) under uncultured bacterium. Its description in RNAcentral is "partial 16S ribosomal RNA". It matches the Rfam family "Bacterial small subunit ribosomal RNA", at positions 29 to 523 of the family's 1533-position model. The record is from RNAcentral.